AACGAACGCUGGCGGCAGGCCUAACACAUGCAAGUCGAGCGAGGACUUCGGUCCUAGCGGCGGACGGGUGAGUAACGCGUGGGAACGUGCCCUUUGCUUCGGAAUAGCCCUGGGAAACUGGGAGUAAUACCGGAUGAGCCCUUUGGGGGAAAGAUUUCUCGGCGAAGGAUCGGCCCGCGUUGGAUUAGGUAGUUGGUGGGGUAAUGGCCUACCAAGCCGACGAUCCAUAGCUGGUUUGAGAGGAUGAUCAGCCACACUGGGACUGAGACACGGCCCAGAAUCGUACGGGAGGCAGCAGAGGGGAAUAUUAGACAAUGGAGGAAACUCUGAUCUAGCCACGCCGGGUGAGCGAGGAAGGCCUUAGGGUUGUAAAGCUCUUUCAGCUGGGAAAAUAAUGACGGUACCAGCAGAAGAAGCCCCGGCUAACUCCGUG
RNAcentral lists this ribosomal RNA (433 nucleotides) under uncultured bacterium. RNAcentral describes it as "partial 16S ribosomal RNA". It matches the Rfam family "Bacterial small subunit ribosomal RNA", at positions 29 to 507 of the family's 1533-position model. The record is from RNAcentral.